This 459-nucleotide ribosomal RNA is filed under the name uncultured bacterium. RNAcentral's name for it is "partial 16S ribosomal RNA". It matches the Rfam family "Bacterial small subunit ribosomal RNA", at positions 338 to 795 of the family's 1533-position model. The record is from RNAcentral.
CCUACGGGAGGCAGCAGUGAGGAAUAUUGGUCAAUGGCCGCAGGGCUGAACCAGCCAAGUCGCGUGAGGGAUGACGGUCCUAUGGAUUGUAAACCUCUUUUGUCAGGGAGCAAAGGGCGCCACGUGUGGCGCUUUGCGAGUACCUGAAGAAAAAGCAUCGGCUAACUCCGUGCCAGCAGCCGCGGUAAUACGGAGGAUGCGAGCGUUAUCCGGAUUUAUUGGGUUUAAAGGGUGCGCAGGCGGAAUGUGAAGUCAGCGGUAAAAUUUCGGGGCUCAACCCCGUCGUGCCGUUGAAACUGGCGUUCUUGAGUGAGCGAGAGGUAUGCGGAAUGCGUGGUGUAGCGGUGAAAUGCAUAGAUAUCACGCAGAACUCCGAUUGCGAAGGCAGCAUACCGGCGCUCAACUGACGCUCAUGCACGAAAGCGUGGGUAUCGAACAGGAUUAGAUACCCUGGUAGUC